AGGCCCCAUCCAGAGAGACCAGCACCACCCUGCAACACCAGGCCCCAUCCAGAGACACCAGCACCACCCUACACCACCAGGCCCCAUCCAGAGAGACCAGCACCACCCUACACCACCAAGGCCCCAUCCAGAGAGACCAUCUCUACCCUACACCACCAGGCCCCAUCCAGAGAGACCAGCACUACCCUGCACCACCAGGCCCCAUACAGAGAGACCAGCACCACCCUACACCACCAGGCACCAUCCAGAGUGACCAUCACAACCCUGCACCACCAGGCCCCAUCCAGAGAGACCAGCACCACCCUACACCACCAGGCCCCAUCCAGAGAGACCAGCACCACCCUACACCACCAAUGCCCCAUCCAGAGAGACCAGCACAACCCUACACCACCAGGCCCCAUCCAGAGAGACCAGCACCACCCUACACCACCAGGCCCCAUCCAGAGAGACCAGCAACACCCUGCACCACCAGGCCCCAUCCAGAGAGACCAGCACAACCCUACACCACCAGGCCCCAUCCAGAGAGACCAGCAACACCCUGCACCACCAGGCCCCAUCCAGAGAGACCAGCACCACCCUACACCACCAGGCCCCAUCCAGAGAGACCAGCACCACCCUACACCACCAGGCCCCAUACAGAGAGACCAGCACCACCCUACACCACCAGGCCCCAUCCAGAGAGACCAGCACCACCAUGCACCACCAGGCCCCAUACAGAGAGACCAGCACCACCCUGCACCACCAGGUCCCAUCCAGAGAGACCAUCUCUACCCUACACCACCAGGCCCCAUCCAGAGAGACCAGCACUACCCUGCACCACCAGGCCCCAUCCAGAGAGACCAGCACCACCCUACACCAACAGGCCCCAUCCAGAGUGACCAUCACCACCCUGCACCACCAGGCCCCAUCCAGAGAGACCAGCACCACCCUACACCACCAGGCCCCAUCCAGAGAGACCAGCACCACCCUACACCACCAAGGCCCCACCCAGAGAGACCAGCAUCACACUAUACCACCAUGCCCCAUCCAGAGAGACCAGCACCACCCUACACCACCAGGCCCCAUCCAGAGAGACCAGCACCACCCUGCACCACCAGGCCCCAUCCAGAGAGACCAUCUCUACCCUACACCACCAGGCCCCAUCCAGAGAGACCAGCACCACCCUGCACCACCAGGCCCCAUCCAGAGAGACCAGCACCACCCUACACCACCAGGCCCCAUCCAGAGUGACCAGCACCACCCUGCACCACCAGGCCCCAUCCAGAGAGACCAGCACCACCCUACACCACCAGGCCCCAUCCAGAGAGACCAGCACUACCCUGCACCACCAGGCCCCAUCCAGAGAGACCAGCACCACCCUACACCAUCGUGUCCCUUCCAGAGAGGCCAGCUCCACCCUACAAUAUUGAGCCCCUCCCAGAGAGACCUGGUCCACCC
Long non-coding RNA from Oncorhynchus tshawytscha (Chinook salmon), 1437 nucleotides. The record is from Ensembl. NCBI's taxonomy places the organism in Eukaryota, Metazoa, Chordata, Actinopteri, Salmoniformes, Salmonidae.